AGUUGGUGGGGUAACGGCCUACCAAGGCGACGAUACGUAGCCGACCUGAGAGGGUGAUCGGCCACACUGGAACUGAGACACGGUCCAGACUCCUACGGGAGGCAGCAGUAGGGAAUCUUCCGCAAUGGGCGAAAGCCUGACGGAGCAACGCCGCGUGAGUGAUGAAGGUCUUCGGAUCGUAAAGCUCUGUUGUUAGGGAAGAACAAAUGUGUAAGUAACUGUGCACAUCUUGACGGUACCUAACCAGAAAGCCACGGCUAACUACGUGCCAGCAGCCGCGGUAAUACGUAGGUGGCAAGCGUUAUCCGGAAUUAUUGGGCGUAAAGCGCGCGUAGGCGGUUUUUUAAGUCUGAUGUGAAAGCCCACGGCUCAACCGUGGAGGGUCAUUGGAAACUGGAAAACUUGAGUGCAGAAGAGG
RNAcentral lists this ribosomal RNA (418 nucleotides) under Staphylococcus pseudintermedius. RNAcentral describes it as "bacterial SSU rRNA". It matches the Rfam family "Bacterial small subunit ribosomal RNA", at positions 247 to 657 of the family's 1533-position model. The record is from RNAcentral. Lineage: Bacteria; Bacillati; Bacillota; Bacilli; Caryophanales; Staphylococcaceae.